This 473-nucleotide ribosomal RNA is filed under the name uncultured bacterium. RNAcentral's name for it is "partial 16S ribosomal RNA". It matches the Rfam family "Bacterial small subunit ribosomal RNA", at positions 28 to 507 of the family's 1533-position model. The record is from RNAcentral.
GAUGAACGCUAGCGGCAGGCCUAAUACAUGCAAGUCGAACGGGUGGUCGCAAGACCCCUAGUGGCGCACGGGUGCGUAACGCGUAACCAACCUGCCCCGAUCUGGGGGAUAGCCCGCCGAAAGGCGGAUUAAUACCGCAUAUACCCGCAGCCUGGCAUCAGGCAACGGGGAAAGAUUUAUCGGAUCGGGAUGGGGUUGCGUGACAUUAGCUAGUUGGCGGGGUAAGGGCCCACCAAGGCGACGAUGUCUAGGGGACCUGAGAGGGUGAUCCCCCACACUGGAACUGAGACACGGGCCAGACUCCACGGGGAGGCAGCGGGAGGGAAUAGUGGGGAGGGGGCGGGAGCCUGACCCAGCCAUGCGGGGGGCGGGAUAAAGGCUUUCGGGUGUUUAACCGGCUUUUCUGAGGAAAAAAAAAGCCUUGGGGAGGUACACUGACGGUACCUGAGGAAAAAGCACCGGCAAACUCCGUG